GAUGAACGCUGGCGGCGUGCCUAAUACAUGCAAGUCGAGCGAACAGACGAGGAGCUUGCUCCUCUGACGUUAGCGGUGGACGGGUGAGUAACACGUGGAUAACCUACCUAUAAGACUGGGAUAACUUCGGGAAACCGGAGCUAAUACCGGAUAACAUGUUGAACCGCAUGGUUCAACAGUGAAAGACGGUCUUGCUGUCACUUAUAGAUGGAUCCGCGCCGCAUUAGCUAGUUGGUAAGGUAACGGCUUACCAAGGCAGCGAGGCGUAGCCGACCUGAGAGGGGGAUCGGCCACACUGGAACUGAGACACGGUCCAGACUCCUACGGGAGGCAGCAGUAGGGAAUCUUCCGCAAUGGGCGAAAGCCUGACGGGGCAACGCCGCGUGAGUGAAGAAGGUCUUCGGAUCGUAAAACUCUGUUAUUAGGGAAGAACAAAUGUGUAAGUAACUAUGCACGUCUUGACGGUACCUAAUCAGAAAGCCACGGCUAACUACGUGCCAGCCGCCGCCGUAA
Molecule: ribosomal RNA, 513 nt
Filed under: uncultured bacterium
Lineage: Bacteria
Description: partial 16S ribosomal RNA
Rfam family: Bacterial small subunit ribosomal RNA
Source: RNAcentral